ACCACGGAGUGAUCAAGCAAAACUCCAUUCACAAGAGAGUUUAUACGAGGGAAAUAAGUAUCUCUUUCUAAAGAGCAGAUAAUAGAAAAUGGAGUUAUCUGGAAAUUAUGAGAGGGAUAUUAAUUUAGGAGUGCGUUAAUGAUAACAAAAACUAGGUUUAAGUUUUAGUAAAUGGAUUAUCUUAAGAUUUUGUUUUGAGGUUUUUUUUUUUAAUAAGGCUAAAGAAUACUACUUUAAAUUUGCUAAAUAUUAUAUGAUCUAAAAAGCUAAACUAAAAAAGAAUUUAUUUGGCACAUUUAAAGACUGAAGUUAAUUUUUUAUGCUUAAAAUAUAUUCUCAAAUAAAUCUUACUAAGCAGAGAGAACUUUCAGUUCUCAGGAAAACAUUUCUAUUAUAACAACUUUAUAUCAGCUCUACAGACUACUGGAAAGUAACAACUUCCUCCUUUCCUCACUGACAAAAUGGUUCGAUGGCUUCCAUACAUCCAAAUCACUGGCUACAGUAUUUUUUAUCACACAGAAUUUGCAGACCGUAAUAGUCUUCAACUACUCUAAAAGCAAAAUCUUCCCUAUUGCUGGAAAUUCCAUGCUUGAAUGUGCCCUGAGAUAUGAAGCAUGACAAGAACUAGCACCCAGUGGUCGUCAGAAUAAAAAUGCUUUGACAGCGGUUCCUUCAGAGGCUUGCCCCUCUCCCCCCAGCCAUCAACGCUGAAGAUGCUCCUAGGAUGGAAGGAUGGUGACUUUCCGGGCAUAAGCACUGUUUUCAGAAUCCAUACUUGUUUACUCAACAGAUCCACAUAAAGAAGCAGACAGGGAUGGGCAGGGGCAAAACACAUGUUCGAAUGCUUUGCCGUCUCAAACUUUUUUUUUCUCAAUAUUUUGACAAUGUCUUAACUAUUUUCCUGUGUCUCCUCUCCUUAUUUUCAAUUUAUUUCAUAUGUCACCAUAGGAACUUUUCUAUUAAUACGGAUCUAGUCCUAUUGCCUCAAUCGAUCUCCGGUAACCAUGUCUGAUCUACUGAAUAAAUUCUCAAGCCCUUGGCACUGCGUUGGAAAGAUGUCAUAGUGUGGCCUGAAUUCACCCCCACCCCAGCCAUAUUUCUAGUCACCUCCUCAUUAAGGAUGGGUCGGUCAUUCAAAUUUAAGAAUUCAUCAGACUGUAAAAUUGUGUGGUUUUGUAAGACCUACAUCAACAAGGACACCACUUGGUUGAGCGUCUGCCUUCGGCUCAGGGCCUGAUCCCAGGGUCCAGGAUUGAGUCCCACAUCGGGCUCCCUGCAUGGAGCCUGCUUCUCCCUCUUCCUAUGUCUCUGCCUCUCUCUGUCUGUGUCUCUCAUGAAUAAAUAAAUAAAUCUUUUUUUUUUUUUUUUAAAAAGGACCUACCAUCAACAGGAUAUGUACAUUUCAACUAAACCUAGUAUUGAAAUACAUGAAUGAGUGCACACACCAUUAAGUGUGUUGCUUGAUCAGUUUUCAACAAGAACAUACCACUGUCACUGUCACUCAAAUCAAAAAAUAGACGAUCACCUGCAUCGCCCCUGAGCCUCUCCAGAUCCUUUCCUACUCACUUCCUGCCCCCCUGCCUUCUAUCACCUGUGAGUCGUUUUUCUCGUUUUUUCAACUCUGUAGACAUGGAAUCGUACAGGAAGAACUCUUGUAAUCUGGCUUAUUUUGCUCAAUAUGUGUUUGUGAAUUUUAUCUGGGUCAAUGUCACAGUUACUGGCUAUUCUCAUUGCUGCAUCUCUUCCAAUUUAUGCUUUUUACUCGGACGGACAUUAGAUUACUCUUACUGUGCAGCUGUUAAGAAUAGUGCUGCUCUAAACAUUAUUGUAUGUGUGUUUUGGUAACUGUGUGCACGCAUUACUGUAGGAUGUCUAUCUUGGAAU
Molecule: long non-coding RNA, 1884 nt
Organism: Canis lupus familiaris (dog)
Lineage: Eukaryota; Metazoa; Chordata; Mammalia; Carnivora; Canidae
Exons: 4
Source: RefSeq, a predicted model, not a curated record